GAAACCAAAACGGCAGGUCGAACGAGAGACCUUCGGGUCUCUAGUGGCGAACGGGUGAGUAACACGUAGGGAACCUGCCCGCGCACCGGGAAUACGCUCUGGAAACGGAGAACAAAUCCCGAUGUACAGGAAGGAGGCAUCUUCUUUCUGUGAAACAUCCUUUAGGGGAUGGGGCGCGGAUGGACCUGCGGUGCAUUAGUUGGUUGGCGGGGUAAAGGCCCACCAAGACGAUGAUGCAUAGCCGGCCUGAGAGGGCGGACGGCCACAUUGGGACUGAGACACGGCCCAGACUCCUGCGGGAGGCAGCAGUAGGGAAUUUUCGUCAAUGGGCGCAAGCCUGAACGAGCGAUGCUGCGUGAGUGAAGAAGGCCUUCGGGUCGUAAAGCUCUGUUGCGGGGGAAAAAAGGCAGCAUCAGGAAAUGGGUGCUGACUGAUGGUGCCCCGCCAGAAAGUCACGGCUAACUACGUGCCAGCAGCCGCGGUAAUACGUAGGUGGCGAGCGUUAUCCGGAAUGAUUGGGCGUAAAGGGUGCGCAGGCGGUCCUGCAAGUCUGGAGUGAAACGCAUGAGCUCAACUCAUGCAUGGCUUUGGAAACUGGAGGACUGGAGAGCAGGAGAGGGCGGUGGAACUCCAUGUGUAGCGGUAAAAUGCGUAGAUAUAUGGAAGAACACCAGUGGCGAAGGCGGCCGCCUGGCCUGUUGCUGACGCUGAGGCACGAAAGCGUGGGGAGCANAUAGGAUUAGAUACCCU
This 750-nucleotide ribosomal RNA is filed under the name uncultured bacterium. RNAcentral's name for it is "bacterial SSU rRNA". It matches the Rfam family "Bacterial small subunit ribosomal RNA", at positions 46 to 788 of the family's 1533-position model. The record is from RNAcentral.